ACUCCUACGGGAGGCAGCAGUGGGAAUAUUGGACAAUGGGGGCAACCCUGAUCCAGCAAUGCCGCGUGUGUGAAGAAGGCCUGCGGGUUGUAAAGCACUUUCAGUAGAGAAGAAAAGCCUAGGGUUAAUACCCCUGAGUCUUGACGUUACCUACAGAAGAAGCUCCGGCUAACUCCGUGCCAGCAGCCGCGGUAAUACGGAGGGGGUUAGCGUUGUUCGGAAUUACUGGGCGUAAAGCGCGCGUAGGCGGACUAUUAAGUCAGAGGUGAAAUCCCGGGGCUCAACCCCGGAACUGCCUUUGAUACUGGUAGUCUUGAGUUCGAGAGAGGUGAGUGGAAUUCCGAGUGUAGAGGUGAAAUUCGUAGAUAUUCGGAGGAACACCAGUGGCGAAGGCGGCUCACUGGCUCGAUACUGACGCUGAGGUGCGAAAGUGUGGGGAGCAAACAGGAUUAGAUACCCUGGUAGGCUCU
RNAcentral lists this ribosomal RNA (470 nucleotides) under uncultured bacterium. RNAcentral's name for it is "bacterial SSU rRNA". It matches the Rfam family "Bacterial small subunit ribosomal RNA", at positions 335 to 798 of the family's 1533-position model. The record is from RNAcentral.